RNAcentral lists this ribosomal RNA (262 nucleotides) under uncultured bacterium. RNAcentral's name for it is "partial small subunit ribosomal RNA". It matches the Rfam family "Bacterial small subunit ribosomal RNA", at positions 26 to 285 of the family's 1533-position model. The record is from RNAcentral.
AGGACGAACGCUGGCGGCGUGCUUAACACAUGCAAGUCGAACGAGGCCCUACCUUCGGGUAGGUGACCUAGUGGGCGAACGGGUGAGUAACACGUGGGCAACCUACCCUCAGCUCUGGGAUAACCCCGGGAAACCGGAGCCUAAUACCGGAUAUGACCUAGAACGACAUCGUUCAUGGUGGAAAGUUUUUCGGCUGAGGAUGGGCCCGUCGGCCUAUCAGCUUGUUGGUGGGGUAAUGGCCCACCAAGGCGACGGACGGGUA